CCAAUAGCGUAUAUUAAAGUUGUUGCAGUUAAAAAGCUCGUAGUUGAAUUUCGGGAUCAAGGAAUCGGUCAUGCCUCGGUAUGUACUGGUUUUAUUGGUUCUCACCUUCUAAAGAACCAUAAUGUCAUUUAUUUGAUGUUAUGGGGAAUUAGGACUGUUACCUUGAAAAAAUUAGAGUGUUUAAAGCAAGCUUACGCUUGAAUACAUUAGCAUGGAAUAA
RNAcentral lists this ribosomal RNA (220 nucleotides) under uncultured Glomus. Its description in RNAcentral is "partial small subunit ribosomal RNA". It matches the Rfam family "Eukaryotic small subunit ribosomal RNA", at positions 591 to 817 of the family's 1831-position model. Lineage: Eukaryota; Fungi; Glomeromycota; Glomeromycetes; Glomerales; Glomeraceae. The record is from RNAcentral.